Long non-coding RNA from Armigeres subalbatus, 1099 nucleotides. RefSeq lists it as uncharacterized. The record is from RefSeq and is a predicted model, not a curated record. Lineage: Eukaryota; Metazoa; Arthropoda; Insecta; Diptera; Culicidae. The transcript is spliced from 4 exons.
UUUGUGUAUGUGUGUAUUUGUCGGAAUCACCAUCAAAAAUAAAAACAAAAAAAAUAAUAAAUAACAUCCGCGACCCGCGAUGCGCGUAGCGUCAUAAAAUUCAAAUUUCAUUUGCCGAAUAGCUGAGAUAAUGCUGUCGUAAACGAAAGGUCUCGAAAAUGAAAAACGAAGAUUGACGUGGCACCAUCUCACGAAAACCCAGUCUGUCGUUUUCGUCGUUUUCCCUCCUUUCUGUCGUACGGCAUACAGAAUUGUAAAUCCCAUGCAAGGAUAAAUUAAGGGUUUCGAUGAGGUGGUCAUCGUGAUUUUCUCCAAUUAACUCCAAACCUGUGUUGCCGGCCAGAAGAACUAGCCAAUUGGCCAAUUGGUUUUGAAUUGGCUUGCAAAGUAAGCAUCGCGAGACGAGGCUCCGUCGUUCAAGUCUGGCUUAGUUCCGGAUCCCAAGAAAAAUCCGUAGCGUUGGAUAUACUGAAUUUGUGUCGACAAUGUUAUGGGCAACCAAGGAUUUGCCGUUAACUAUAAGUCGAAAUCGUCAGCGUUGGAUUGAGAGAGAGAGAGACCAUGGAAGAAAGCUCCUAGGAGAAAUUUCAAAAUUGAAAGUAUUUUUAUAUAUAUUUAAUUUUAACAAAUAAUUUAAUAAUUCUAUUGGCUUAUAUAUACAACAUGUUUAUUUUUUCAAAAUCUCUUGUUUGGAUUAUUUUCAUAACACAACUACGAAUAAUUUCAUCAACAUCACUAUUUUGAAUUAAACUAUCACACUCUUAUUUUUAAUAGUGUCUUCUGAGGCGUCUCUUUUUCGAUUUGACAGUUUUAAAAUUCAUUUUAAAAGUUUGAACUUUUAAUUUUAUGAUGUGAGCAAGGGUAUGACAAACUUUUUCAAAAACAAUUGGCGUACUCUAGAUUUGAUUUUAUGCAACUCUCUAUAGAGAGUUGGUUCGUAUACGAAAAAUAACCAACGCAACUUUUUAUUUUAACCAAUGGUUUUUCUAAUUGCAUCAAUGGUAUUUCUUUCUGUGUGGGUAUCUCCUGGCUGUAAAUGAUAUUAUUUUAUGUUGACUUUUGAUAAUUAAAAACCAUCAUUAUCAUCUUUAUCGAAAAU